UGCAUAUCCCAAAAGCGGAGGAAAAGAAACCAACAGGGAUUGCCUUAGUAGCGGCGAGUGAAGCGGCAAAAGCUCAAAUUUGAAAUCUGGCUCUUUCAGAGUCCGAGUUGUAAUUUGAAGAAGGUAUCUUUGGGUCUGGCUCUUGUCUAUGUUUCUUGGAACAGAACGUCACAGAGGGUGAGAAUCCCGUGCGAUGAGAUGAUCCAGGCCUAUGUAAAGUUCCUUCGAAGAGUCGAGUUGUUUGGGAAUGCAGCUCUAAGUGGGUGGUAAAUUCCAUCUAAAGCUAAAUAUUGGCGAGAGACCGAUAGCGAACAAGUACAGUGAUGGAAAGAUGAAAAGAACUUUGAAAAGAGAGUGAAAAAGUACGUGAAAUUGUUGAAAGGGAAGGGCUUGAGAUCAGACUUGGUAUUUUGUAUGUUACUUCUUCGGGGGUGGCCUCUACAGUUUAUCGGGCCAGCAUCAGUUUGGGCGGUAGGAGAAUUGCGUUGGAAUGUGGCACGGCUUCGGUUGUGUGUUAUAGCCUUCGUCGAUACUGCCAGCCUAGACUGAGGACUGCGGUUUAUACCUAGGAUGUUGGCAUAAUGAUCUUAAGUCGCCCGUCUUGAACCCACGGACC
Molecule: ribosomal RNA, 616 nt
Filed under: Candida tropicalis
Lineage: Eukaryota; Fungi; Ascomycota; Pichiomycetes; Serinales; Debaryomycetaceae
Description: eukaryotic LSU rRNA
Rfam family: Eukaryotic large subunit ribosomal RNA
Source: RNAcentral